AUACGGAGGGUGCAAGCGUUAUCCGGAAUCAUUGGGUUUAAAGGGUCCGCAGGCGGAUUAAUAAGUCAGUGGUGUAAUCCUCUCGCUCAACGAGAGAACUGCCAUUGAAACUGUUAGUCUUGAAUUCGGUCGAAGUAGGCGGAAUGUGUCAUGUAGCGGUGAAAUGCAUAGAUAUGACACAGAACACCGAUAGCGAAGGCAGCUUACUAGACCUGGAUUGACGCUCAUGGACGAAAGCGUGGGGAGCGAACAGGAUUAGAAACCCUAGUAGUCC
This 274-nucleotide ribosomal RNA is filed under the name uncultured bacterium. RNAcentral's name for it is "partial 16S ribosomal RNA". It matches the Rfam family "Bacterial small subunit ribosomal RNA", at positions 523 to 796 of the family's 1533-position model. The record is from RNAcentral.